UGUAUAUGUUCCAGACCGUAUGAGUAUUUGGACCGUACGCGUACGGUCUGGACCGUAUGCGUACUUUUUCAAAAUACGCAUACGGUCGGACCGUACGCGUACGGUCUGACUGAUAUUAAGAAGUUGGUCAAGCUUAUUAGAUACAAAUGUAUAUAACAUAUCAACAUGACUUAUAUCUCCAAUUAAUAUAAAAAGUUCAACAGCAUUUUACAUAAAAACUUAAUAUUCUUAGACUAACUAUUUAAAAAGAUCACGC
RNAcentral lists this long non-coding RNA (256 nucleotides) under Mytilus galloprovincialis (Mediterranean mussel). Lineage: Eukaryota; Metazoa; Mollusca; Bivalvia; Mytilida; Mytilidae. The record is from RNAcentral.